CGGCGGAGCCCUCGUUCUCAACGGCGGCGGAGCCUUCGUCCUCAAAAAAUGGUUGUGAGGGGAGCCCGUGGGCAUACUGAGAUGGAGCCCCCAGAUUCAACUUCGAAUAGAGGGGAUGCUGCCGCUCGGACCUUCGAAUUGACGGUCAAUUUCUUUCCAUCAAAGGCAAAAUUAGUUGAUGGUAGCAUUCAGAACAUUGAGAGAGACACAAUUGUUAAAUGGGAGGUUGAGUUUACAGAGAUUGAUC
Long non-coding RNA from Triticum dicoccoides, 247 nucleotides. RefSeq lists it as uncharacterized. The record is from RefSeq and is a predicted model, not a curated record. The transcript is spliced from 3 exons. Lineage: Eukaryota; Viridiplantae; Streptophyta; Magnoliopsida; Poales; Poaceae.